UAGCCUAUGAGCUGGCUAGGUUUGCGUGC
Molecule: non-coding RNA, 29 nt
Filed under: Rattus norvegicus (Norway rat)
Lineage: Eukaryota; Metazoa; Chordata; Mammalia; Rodentia; Muridae
Source: RNAcentral